Molecule: long non-coding RNA, 132 nt
Organism: Eubalaena glacialis (North Atlantic right whale)
Lineage: Eukaryota; Metazoa; Chordata; Mammalia; Artiodactyla; Balaenidae
Exons: 3
Source: RefSeq, a predicted model, not a curated record
GUGUAUAUUACAUUACAGAUGACAAGGGCUCCCAGAGGAUGUAAUGCUGUGGUCCUCCGAUCUUGGCAGUACCUUGCACAGAAAUAUUUGUUGAUGGCAGCCUCACUGAAGAAAUGCUGUGUGGAUCGGUCU